Molecule: ribosomal RNA, 301 nt
Filed under: uncultured bacterium
Lineage: Bacteria
Description: partial 16S ribosomal RNA
Rfam family: Bacterial small subunit ribosomal RNA
Source: RNAcentral
CAGCCGCCGCGGUAAUACGAAGGGUGCAAGCGUUACUCGGAAUUACUGGGCGUAAAGCGUGCGUAGGUGGUGGUUUAAGUCCGUUGUGAAAGCCCUGGGCUCAACCUGGGAAUUGCAGUGGAUACUGGCUCGCUAGAGUGUGUCAGAGGAUGGUGGAAUUCCCGGUGUAGCGGUGAAAUGCGUAGAGAUCGGGAGGAACAUCAGUGGCGAAGGCGGCCAUCUGGGACAACACUGACGCUGAGGCACGAAAGCGUGGGGAGCAAACAGGAUUAGAUACCCGCGUAGUCCCUGUCUCUUAUAC